CAGGCCCCUCGGCCCAGGGCGGAGACCAGCUCCCAUCAGCCCCUGCUCCUCCUUCCUCCCUCAGCAGGUGCCCCCCUCCCUCGGGGACUCGCCUGCCUCCCCCAGUCCCCGUUCCAGCAGGAAGUCCAUGGCAGUCCCCAGGGCUGGGCCCGAGUGCCCUCAGCCAGCGCUGUGGCCGGCUGACUCCUCCCCACACAGGGAGUCCAGGCCUGGCCCGGGCUGGAGUCAGCACUGCACUCAGCCUGUCCGUGUUUGCUAACCCGGCGAGAGACCUUCGAGGAAAACGAAUGCCCUGGCUCUCGCUGCCCUCCGAGAGUGCCCCAUCCUGUCAGCGGGCCACACCACACAAGGGCCCUUUCAGGUUCCCAAGGGUGACUUCCUCAGCCUUGGCAGGUGCUGGCCGGCAGGAUGCUGAACUGACAGCGUGGCGCUGGGUGUGGAGGGCCCACCUGAGGAUUGUCGCCAACAGCAUAAAAGGAGAACCGGAGGGGAAGAUGGUGCGCUGCUGAGUCUCCUGGAGAAGCUUGUCACGCUGGUUUUCCUGAUAUGAGCUUGGUUGUUCUCACCAUCGGAGGAGCUCGGGUCCUCACUGUUGCGGAGG
This 601-nucleotide long non-coding RNA is filed under the name Chinchilla lanigera (long-tailed chinchilla). Its description in RNAcentral is "lncRNA (ENSCLAG00000023961.1)". The record is from RNAcentral. Lineage: Eukaryota; Metazoa; Chordata; Mammalia; Rodentia; Chinchillidae.